UACUGAGGCCUUUCCACAGAGCUAGCUCUGUGGUCACGUGGGUCUGAGGCGGCGGUCACGUGGGUCGGAUGCUCGUUAAUUAUACAGAAUUUUAGGCUUUCAAUACACUUAAACAGAAGAGUGAGAAAAAAAUUCACCCCCCUCAGAGUUGUCAUGAGUAUAAACUAGAUAAUUUAGACAAAAAACAUGUUUUGGUACCAGGCUGUAAACAUGUUUAUUUCUGCUGUGAAAUCGGCAUUUUUAACAUGGGAGUCAAUGAGGAUUUGCUCGCUUCUGACACCAGCCCCCAGCGGAUGAGGGUGGAACUGCAAUUUUUCUUACUUCUGGGAUGGGACCAUUUUUAGAGCGGCAUUGUGGGGGCUUGGGGGAAACACAAGACACAGUGGUGGCUGGCCAGUAGAGGGCGAUAGGGCGCCGCCCUCCCAGUUUUUCCGUGUUUUUAAUUUUUAUUAAAAAAAUAAAUAAAUAAAAUUAACAAUAAUCACAUAUUCUAAGUUAAUUGUGUGUUUUGUAACAAAAAUAAAUCAUAUAUAUAUAUAUCUAUAUUGGUCUCUGCCGGUCUCUGCCGAUCUCUGCCGGUCUCUGCCGUGCGGUGGAGGCUGUGUGUGCUGUUUUUCAAUCGCCCAAACAGGACGAGACCAGCUGUCCAAUUGCUGACAAGAAUAUCAAAGGGUAGGAAUGGGAAUGUAUCCAAUCAGCGUCGAAGUUGUUUCAGAACGUUUCAGAAGCAUGAUGGGCGAUGGAGCUACCGCCAAAGGAUUCGUUGGUGUUCGGUAGAACUCGGCAGAGUCGUUUUUGGUCGUGACGCAGAUGUAACAUGGACGCUGCCGGUGACUACAACCAGCAUGGAUACUGGAUCUCAGCAGCCACUGAAUUCAGUUCGGUCUCUUCUCCAGCAUCCGUUCGAGAGGAGAACUAUGGUGGAAAAUCUUAAUGUCAAAGAGCUUGGACCAGAUCAGCCCGACGUAAAGAUAAGCCAGCAGGAGAAGGAGAGAGGUAAACUGUACACACUAGGCUUCUCCCGAAAUUGGUACACCAGGAAGCAGUGGCUAGCUGGAUGCAAUCACGCUAAUGCGUUAUUUUGCUUUCCGUGUUUGUUAUUCAAAACGGCUGGGACAGAUGAGGCAUGGAUGAGUCAGGAGUUACAGACAUGAAACAUUUUUCUGAGAAGGUGAAGAAACACGAGUCAUCCCGGGCACACAUGGACAACAACACGGUGAAGCUAGCCAUGCUAGGCAGCAGAGCUAACGUUGCCAUGCAGGGAACAACAGCAGCUGGGUGCAGAGGUUUUUCACACCAUUGUGAGCCAUGCAAAAGAAGAUUCUUGUCACCACACCCAUGACCACAGCCGAAUCAGAAAG
Nothobranchius furzeri (turquoise killifish) is the source of this 1361-nucleotide non-coding RNA. The record is from RefSeq and is a predicted model, not a curated record. Lineage: Eukaryota; Metazoa; Chordata; Actinopteri; Cyprinodontiformes; Nothobranchiidae.